This 483-nucleotide ribosomal RNA is filed under the name uncultured bacterium. Its description in RNAcentral is "bacterial SSU rRNA". It matches the Rfam family "Bacterial small subunit ribosomal RNA", at positions 28 to 526 of the family's 1533-position model. The record is from RNAcentral.
GACGAACGCUGGCGGCGUGCUUAACACAUGCAAGUCGAGCGGAAAGGCUCCUUCGGGGGUACUCGAGCGGCGAACGGGUGAGUAACACGUGAGUAAUCUGCCCUUGGCUUUGGGAUAGCCACCGGAAACGGUGAUUAAUACCGGAUAUGACCACUUCUCGCAUGGGAUGGUGGUGGAAAGUUUUUCGGCCAGGGAUGUGCUCGCGGCCUAUCAGCUUGAUGGUGAGGUAAUGGCUCACCAUGGCUUCGACGGGUAGCCGGCCUGAGAGGGUGACCGGUCACACUGGGACUGAGACACGGCCCAGACUCCUACGGGAGGCAGCAGUGGGGAAUAUUGGACAAUGGGCGGAAGCCUGAUCCAGCAACGCCGCGUGAGGGAUGACGGCCUUCGGGUUGUAAACCUCUUUCGCCUAUGACGAAGCGUGAGUGACGGUAAUAGGUAAAGAAGCACCGGCCAACUACGUGCCAGCCGCCGCCGUAACAC